GAUGAACGCUGGCGGCGUGCCUAAUACAUGCAAGUCGAGCGAACAGACGAGGAGCUUGCUCCUCUGACGUUAGCGGCGGACGGGUGAGUAACACGUGGAUAACCUACCUAUAAGACUGGGAUAACUUCGGGAAACCGGAGCUAAUACCGGAUAAUAUAUUGAACCGCAUGGUUCAAUAGUGUAAGACGGUUUUGCUGUCACUUAUAGAUGGAUCCGCGCCGCAUUAGCUAGUUGGUAAGGUAACGGCUUACCAAGGCGACGAUGCGUAGCCGACCUGAGAGGGUGAUCAGCCACACUGGAACUGAGACACGGUCCAGACUCCUACGGGAGGCAGCAGUAGGGAAUCUUCCGCAAUGGGCGAAAGCCUGACGGAGCAACGCCGCGUGAGUGAUGAAGGUCUUCGGAUCGUAAAACUCUGUUAUUAGGGAAGAACAAAUGUGUAAGUAACUAUGCACGUCUUGACGGUACCUAAUCAGAAAGCCACGGCUAACUACGUG
Molecule: ribosomal RNA, 497 nt
Filed under: uncultured bacterium
Lineage: Bacteria
Description: partial 16S ribosomal RNA
Rfam family: Bacterial small subunit ribosomal RNA
Source: RNAcentral